This is a long non-coding RNA of Cydia pomonella (codling moth), 1187 nucleotides long. RefSeq lists it as uncharacterized. The transcript is spliced from 2 exons. NCBI's taxonomy places the organism in Eukaryota, Metazoa, Arthropoda, Insecta, Lepidoptera, Tortricidae. The record is from RefSeq and is a predicted model, not a curated record.
AACCCAGUUGUUACUACCGACCUUUAUAACGCCACCAACUAAGCGUUAGAUCUACCCGCAAUAUUUAUGGCUUUGACGUAGCAUAAACAAAUAUCAAGUUUAAUUGUAGUACUUACAAAGGGUACUUCAACAAAUCGCAUUGUUAUUUGACACAGUGUUGAUUGUGGUUUUAAGUCCAGACGUGUUUUAAAAUAACCUAAGUGAUUUCUUUGAAACAUGCCCUCGAAUAGGUAAUUUUUUUUUUAUUGAAUUUGUUGAUAGUGUAGCCUUAUCAUGAUGUUUUACAGAGGACUGAUACGAUUGUAUAAUUUUAAUAAAAAAUAGUUUAUAUUAUCGCUUUCUUUGCGGGUUUUUUUUUUCAAUUAAAAAAUUGUGGCGUUAUAACGCCCGGUAGUAAAAUUGACGUCUAUUUAUUAUGACUACUUUGUUUAUAGGCCACUGAAGAAAAAGGCUUUAAGCCUUAACGAAAUAAUUGACAACCUACACCAUUUAGAUUCUGAUGAUGAUUUGCCAAAUGAAAUCACUAUUUUUCCACCGGAAAAUCCGAAUACUGAAGUAACUGAUGAAGAUUAGGGUGAUGAAGAAUUUCUGUCAUUACAUAAUCUUCCAGGAUCUCAGCUAAGGGCUCCCGCGGAGGCUAUAUAUAGCUCAUAUUCGGAAAAUGAGGAUUCGGAAGACGAUUUAUCUUUGUCGACUUUAGCCAAAAAAAUGCGUACUACUACCGAAAAUUCACAUGAAAAUGAGAACGAGCCUUCAGUUUCUAAUCCUAGAAUUAGUUCUACGCGUUUACCUAGUGUACUAAAAUCUCAACAGUACAAGUGGGUCAACCAGGAUAACCCGAGGGAACGUAGACAGUGGCAAGACCGGGAAGAGCCGAAAAAUCGUCAAUCUCCUAUGUAUUACUAUGAGUGUAUGAUGAAUGAUGAGAUAAUUGAGCUGUUGGUAUAUUAUACAAAUUUGUACGCGAGCCAGAAAAAUGCCGUCGGUAAUGUAACUAUUUCAGAAAUGAAGUGUUUUUUGGGAAUACUUUUAUACAGUGGUUACGUUUCGGUACCACGUCGAUAUAUGUUUUGGGAGAAAUCUUCUGAUACUCACUUUGACAUUGUGUAUAAUGACCCGAAGACGUGUUUUGUGGCCUAUCAUACUAGUGUUUAAUUUAUAGGCAAUUAUACAAAUGUUUAACAAUG